This 233-nucleotide long non-coding RNA is filed under the name Lathyrus oleraceus (garden pea). Its description in RNAcentral is "Pisum sativum (pea) long non-coding RNA (PSAT_LNC004526)". The record is from RNAcentral. Lineage: Eukaryota; Viridiplantae; Streptophyta; Magnoliopsida; Fabales; Fabaceae.
UUUGUUCUGGGGGUGGUGAAGUGACUUCAGGUUCAGGUUGAGGUUGUUGUGGUUGUUGUGAGUUUUGGUUUAGAGAGUAAAGGUGGGCUAAGGUGGGAGAAGCGGGGUCAGAAGGUUCUGGGUCAGACGAGAGGAUAAGGUAGGGAGGUGAUUCUGGGUUUGAAGAUGAAGAGGUGGUUUGAUUGAGUUCUUCAGCUUCAGAACGUGGUAAAGAGGUAUGGGCAAGAUUGAAU